Molecule: long non-coding RNA, 355 nt
Organism: Rhea pennata
Lineage: Eukaryota; Metazoa; Chordata; Aves; Rheiformes; Rheidae
Exons: 2
Source: RefSeq, a predicted model, not a curated record
UUUUCAAGAAGUGCCGUCAUUCUGAAGAAUAUUCCUGGAUGCUGAACAUAUCAGUCUGUACUCUAGUGCUGUUCCUCAGGAAGGAAGCAAGCAGAUCCAUUCCCAGUGUGAGAAAAUAGGAGAUGAAGACAAAUCAUAGAAGACAGACAGAAGAAAUAAGCAGACGAAAGGAUACAGGACAUUUAUUUCCCAGUGUGCUGUAUCCAAAAGAAAAUGUUUUAUGUCUAGGAUUGGAUGUACUGGCAUGGAAGAGGGCCAUUGCUCCUAAACCACAAAAAAGAGCAAAAGCCAUUCUUCCCUGUAUUAAAUUUUUCUAUAUCCAAUAAAAACCCCAGAAAUGAAUCUUGAGAAUUCA